Molecule: ribosomal RNA, 497 nt
Filed under: uncultured bacterium
Lineage: Bacteria
Description: partial 16S ribosomal RNA
Rfam family: Bacterial small subunit ribosomal RNA
Source: RNAcentral
GAUGAACGCUGGCGGCGUGCCUAAUACAUGCAAGUCGAGCGAACAGACGAGGAGCUUGCUCCUCUGACGUUAGCGGCGGACGGGUGAGUAACACGUGGAUAUCCUACCUAUAAGACUGGGAUAACUUCGGGAAACCGGAGCUAAUACCGGAUAAUAUAUUGAACCGCAUGGUUCAAUAGUGAAAGACGGUUUUGCUGUCACUUAUAGAUGGAUCCGCGCCGCAUUAGCUAGUUGGUAAGGUAACGGCUUACCAAGGCGACGAUGCGUAGCCGACCUGAGAGGGUGAUCGGCCACACUGGAACUGAGACACGGUCCAGACUCCUACGGGAGGCAGCAGUAGGGAAUCUUCCGCAAUGGGCGAAAGCCUGACGGAGCAACCCCGCGUGAGUGAUGAAGGUCUUCGGAUCGUAAAACUCUGUUAUUAGGGAAGAACAAAUGUGUAAGUAACUAUGCACGUCUUGACGGUACCUAAUCAGAAAGCCACGGCUAACUACGUG